RNAcentral lists this ribosomal RNA (434 nucleotides) under uncultured Lachnospiraceae bacterium. RNAcentral describes it as "partial 16S ribosomal RNA". It matches the Rfam family "Bacterial small subunit ribosomal RNA", at positions 341 to 792 of the family's 1533-position model. Lineage: Bacteria; Bacillati; Bacillota; Clostridia; Lachnospirales; Lachnospiraceae. The record is from RNAcentral.
ACGGAAGGCAGCAGUGGGGGAUAUUGCACAAUGGGGGAAACCCUGAUGCAGCGACGCCGCGUGAGUGAUGAAGUAUUUCGGUAUGUAAAGCUCUAUCAGCAGGGAAGAAAAUGACGGUACCUGACUAAGAAGCACCGGCUAAAUACGUGCCAGCAGCCGCGGUAAUACGUACGGAGCAAGCGUUAUCCGGAUUUACUGGGUGUAAAGGGAGCGUAGACGGCAAAGCAAGUCCGAAGUGAAAUCCCGGGGCUCAACCCCGGAACUGCUUUGGAAACUGUUUAGCUAGAGUGCAGGAGAGGUAAGCGGAAUUCCUAGUGUAGCGGUGAAAUGCGUAGAUAUUAGGAGGAACACCAGUGGCGAAGGCGGCUUACUGGACUGUAACUGACGUUGAGGCUCGAAAGCGUGGGGAGCAAACAGGAUUAGAUACCCUGGUA